This 446-nucleotide ribosomal RNA is filed under the name uncultured organism. Its description in RNAcentral is "partial 16S ribosomal RNA". It matches the Rfam family "Bacterial small subunit ribosomal RNA", at positions 335 to 797 of the family's 1533-position model. The record is from RNAcentral.
ACUCCUGCGGGAGGCAGCAGUGGGGAAUAUUGGACACUGGGCGCAAGCCUGAUCCAGCCAUGCCGCGUGAGUGAUGAAGGCCCUAGGGUUGUAAAGCUCUUUCACCGGUGAAGAUAAUGACGGUAACCGGAGAAGAAGCCCCGGCUAACUUCGUGCCAGCAGCCGCGGUAAUACGAAGGGGGCUAGCGUUGUUCGGAUUUACUGGGCGUAAAGCGCACGUAGGCGGACUAUUAAGUCAGGGGUGAAAUCCCGGGGCUCAACCCCGGAACUGCCUUUGAUACUGGUAGUCUUGAGUUCGAGAGAGGUGAGUGGAAUUCCGAGUGUAGAGGUGAAAUUCGUAGAUAUUCGGAGGAACACCAGUGGCGAAGGCGGCUCACUGGCUCGAUACUGACGCUGAGGUGCGAAAGCGUGGGGAGCAAACAGGAUUAGAAACCCGUGUAGUCCCA